CGGAACAAACUGAAUUGCCAUGUAUUAUAACUUUGUACAGACAUAAUGCAGAGGUCUGAAUGAUGUUGAUUGUUAUGUUGUUUCAGAGCAUUUUGAAGGUUCUGGAAGACAUUCAGAUUCACUUGAUUGAACAAAGAUACAGAUGUCUGAAUGAGGAUUAUGGCAUUCAGUGCAUACAAGCAGCUUGCAAACUUCUAGAGAAGAUCUGCAAAAAAGAAAGGCGAACUGAUAUUCCUGUUGCUUGCAUGAACCUUGUGGCCUCUGUAUCAGACUUUGCCCAGACUACACAACAAACAGACUCUUUUUCUGAGAAGACUCAUGAGUUACUCAGUGAUGCCAAGCAAACUGUCAGAGCGUGGAUUGGACAAACUUUUAAAGCCAAACUAUUGCAAAAAGGCUAUCUAUCACGUGUCAGCUUCACUCCAGAGAUUGAGGUAAGCAGAGCAAGUAUAUACAUACAAACUAACCAAUGGUAGAAUAUUUAACCUAUAUUAUUAUUAUUAUUAUUAUUAUUAUUAUUAUAUUUGUGCUUGUUCUGCUUUACAGAUGUGGAAUAAUAUUAUUGCCGUAGAUUUCAUGAGUAUGGCCUUCACUAAAGAAUGGAGAGAGACCUUCACACAGGACUUUGAGGGAAAAUAUCAACAGGUAUUCAUUACAAAAUUCCAUAGUGUGUGUCUAGUAGGUUUGGGAGUCAAGUAUUUUUACUGGUCCAGUAUUUUAUUUAUGUGUACUUUCUAACAUAUUAAUAAUCACAUGGUUUUUGAUUCAGUCAACGUUAUACAACAGAAUACUAUAUUAAAAUACUCAGACAGUGUUCCUGCACCACUACUGAAUUAGUGUCACAGCAGAAGAUUGCUUUUCAGAAUCAGUUUUCACCCAAAAAUUAAAAUUUGCUGUUAAUUUACUCACCCUCAGGUCAUCCAAGAUGUAGGUGACUUUUUUUCUGCAGUAGAACAAUAAAAAAGAUUUUUAACUGAAAACUUGCUCCUUG
Cyprinus carpio (common carp) is the source of this 991-nucleotide long non-coding RNA. The record is from Ensembl. Lineage: Eukaryota; Metazoa; Chordata; Actinopteri; Cypriniformes; Cyprinidae.